Molecule: long non-coding RNA, 956 nt
Organism: Oncorhynchus keta (chum salmon)
Lineage: Eukaryota; Metazoa; Chordata; Actinopteri; Salmoniformes; Salmonidae
Exons: 3
Source: RefSeq, a predicted model, not a curated record
UGGCUCUCCUAACUGUGGUGUGUCUAAGAGAUGGUGAGGUAUGGCUCUCCUAACUGUGGUGUGUCUAAGAGAUGGUGAGGUAUGGCUCUCCUAUCGGUGGUGUGUCUAAGAGAUGGUGAGGUAUGGCUCUCCUAACUGUGGUGUGUCUAAGAGAUGGUGAGGUAUGGCUCUCCUAACUGUGGUGUGUCUUAGAGAUGGUGAGGUAUGGCUCUCCUAACUGUGGUGUGUCUUAGAGAUGGUGAGGUAUGGCUCUCCUAACUGUGGUGUGUCUUAGAGAUGGUGAGGUAUGUCUCUCCUAACUGUGGUGUGUCUAAGAGAUGGUGAGGUAUGGCUCUCCUAACUGUGGUGUGUCUAGGAGAUGGUGAGGUAUGGCUCUCCUAACUGUGGUGUGUCUAAGAGCUGUGAGUCUUUCUGGGUAAGUCUCUAAGAGCUGUGAGUCUUUCUGGGUAAGUCUCUAAGAGCUGUGAGUCUUUCUGGGUAAGUCUCUAAGAGCUGUGAGUCUUUCUGGGUAAGUCUCUAAGAGCUGUGAGUCUUUCUGGGUAAGUCUCUAAGAGCUGUUAGUCUUUCUGGGUAAGUCUCUAAGAGCUGUGAGUCUUUCUCGGUAAGUCUCUAAGAGCUGUGUGUCUUUCUGGGUAAGUCUAAGAGCUGUGAGUCUUUCUGGGUAAGUCUCUAAGAGCUGUGAGUGUUUCUGGGUAAGUCUCUAAGAGCUGUGUGUCUUUCUGGGUAAGUCUCUAAGAGCUGUGAGUCUUUCUGGGUAAGUCUCUAAGAGCUGUGAGUCUUUCUGGGUAAGUCUCUAAGAGCUGUGAGUCUUUCUGGGUAAGUCUCUAAGAGCUGUGAGUCUUUCUGGGUAAGUCUCUAAGAGCUGUGAGUCUUUCUGGGUAAGUCUCUAAGAGCUGUGAGUCUUUCUGGGUAAGUCUCUAAGAGCUGUGAGUCUUUCUGGGUAAGUCUCUAAGAGC